Molecule: ribosomal RNA, 555 nt
Filed under: Triticum aestivum (bread wheat)
Lineage: Eukaryota; Viridiplantae; Streptophyta; Magnoliopsida; Poales; Poaceae
Description: partial small subunit ribosomal RNA
Source: RNAcentral
AUGGCCGAAUGCUUCAAUAGGGUGCUCAAAGGUGCACGUGGAUUACCCGUGACGGCAAUAGUUCAAUACACAUUUGACAAGAUGAAUGCGUACUUUGUAAAGUACUCGAUGGAAACCGAUGCACAGAUAGCGGGUGAGAACCCACGGAAGUACAAGUACAAGUUCCCACCCAAAGUUGAUGAAUGGUUGCUAUUUCAAUCACGGAAGGCGGACUCAGAAGAAGCUAUAUUAUAUGACAAUGAGGAGUGGAAGUACGAAGUGAAAGAGCCAGGAGGAACCACAAACGAUGGCCGGCAACAUGGAGGUCGGGCUUUCAAGGUGUCGUUAACACAAUGUGAUUGCACUUGCGGGAGGCCAUUGUUGCUUCAUCUCCCAUGCUCACAUUUGUAUGCCGCCGGCCGCGUUAGGAAUGUGGACAUCAAUCACCCACGCACCGUGAGGGAGUCCCAGUUCUCAAUCAUGACGGUCAAGAAAACAUGGGCUCCCCGCUUUCACCCAUACUUUGACCAAUCACAAUGGCCGGAGUAUCAUGGAGUUCAACUAUGGCCGGAUCCG